GACGAACGCUGGCGGCGUGCUUAACACAUGCAAGUCGAACGGAAAGGCCCUGCUUUUGUGGGGUGCUCGAGUGGCGAACGGGUGAGUAACACGUGAGUAACCUGCCCUUGACUUUGGGAUAACUUCAGGAAACUGGGGCUAAUACCGGAUAGGAGCUCCUGCUGCAUGGUGGGGGUUGGAAAGUUUCGGCGGUUGGGGAUGGACUCGCGGCUUAUCAGCUUGUUGGUGGGGUAGUGGCUUACCAAGGCUUUGACGGGUAGCCGGCCUGAGAGGGUGACCGGCCACAUUGGGACUGAGAUACGGCCCAGACUCCUACGGGAGGCAGGAGUGGGGAAUAUUGCACAAUGGGCGGAAGCCUGAUGCAGCAACGCCGCGUGCGGGAUGACGGCCUUCGGGUUGGAAACCGCUUUCGCCUGUGACGAAGCGUGAGUGACGGUAAUGGGUAAAGAAGCACCGGCUAACUACGUG
RNAcentral lists this ribosomal RNA (468 nucleotides) under uncultured bacterium. RNAcentral describes it as "partial 16S ribosomal RNA". It matches the Rfam family "Bacterial small subunit ribosomal RNA", at positions 28 to 507 of the family's 1533-position model. The record is from RNAcentral.